GACGAACGCUGGCGGCGUGCCUAAUACAUGCAAGUCGAACGAAGCUGUUUUAACUGGUGCUUGCACCGACUUAAACAACUGAGUGGCGAACGGGUGAGUAACACGUGGGUAACCUGCCCCAAAGCGGGGGAUAACAUUUGGAAACAGAUGCUAAUACCGCAUAACCACAGAAACCACAUGGUUUCUGUGUCAAAGAUGGUUUCGGCUAUCACUUUGGGAUGGACCCGCGGCGUAUUAGCUAGUUGGUAAGGUAAUGGCUUACCAAGGCAAUGAUACGUAGCCGAACUGAGAGGUUGAUCGGCCACACUGGGACUGAGACACGGCCCAGACUCCUACGGGAGGCAGCAGUGGGGAAUUUUGGACAAUGGGCGAAAGCCUGAUCCAGCAAUGCCGCGUGCAGGAAGAAGGCCUUCGGGUUGUAAACUGCUUUUGUACGGAGCGAAAAGGUCUCCUCUAAUACAGGGGGCUCAUGACGGUACCGUAAGAAUAAGCACCGGCUAACUACGUGCCAGCAGCCGCCGUAA
This 524-nucleotide ribosomal RNA is filed under the name uncultured bacterium. RNAcentral's name for it is "partial 16S ribosomal RNA". It matches the Rfam family "Bacterial small subunit ribosomal RNA", at positions 28 to 523 of the family's 1533-position model. The record is from RNAcentral.